RNAcentral lists this ribosomal RNA (230 nucleotides) under uncultured bacterium. RNAcentral's name for it is "partial 16S ribosomal RNA". It matches the Rfam family "Bacterial small subunit ribosomal RNA", at positions 334 to 561 of the family's 1533-position model. The record is from RNAcentral.
UUUGCCUACGGGGCGCAGCAGUGAGGAAUAUUGGUCAAUGGACGGAAGUCUGAACCAGCCAUGCCGCGUGCAGGAUGACGGCUCUAUGAGUUGUAAACUGCUUUUGUAUUAGGGUAAACACCCCUACGUGUAGGGGCUUGAUAGUAUAAUACGAAUAAGGAUCGGCUAACUCCGUACCAGCAGCCGCGGUAAUACGGAGGAUCCAAGCGUUAUCCGGAUUUAUUGGGUUU